GAUGAACGCUGGCGGCGUGCCUAAUACAUGCAAGUCGAGCGAACAGACGAGGAGCUUGCUCCUCUGACGUUAGCGGCGGACGGGUGAGUAACACGUGGAUAACCUACCUAUAAGACUGGGAUAACUUCGUGAAACCGGAGCUAAUAACGGAUAAUAUAUUGAACCGCAUGGUUCAAUAGUGAAAGACGGUUUUGCUGUCACUUAUAGAUGGAUCCGCGCCGCAUUAGCUAGUUGGUAAGGUAACGGCUUACCAAGGCAACGAUGCGUAGCCGACCUGAGAGGAUGAUCAGCCACACUGGAACUGAGACACGGUCCAGACUCCUACGGGAGGCAGCAGUAGGGAAUCUUCCGCAAUGGGCGAAAGCCUGACGGAGCCACGCCGCGUGAGUGAUGAAGGUCUUCGGAUCGUAAAACUCUGUUAUUAGGGAAGAACAAAUGUGUAAGUAACUAUGCACGUCUUGACGGUACCUAAUCAGAAAGCCACGGCUAACUACGUG
RNAcentral lists this ribosomal RNA (497 nucleotides) under uncultured bacterium. RNAcentral's name for it is "partial 16S ribosomal RNA". It matches the Rfam family "Bacterial small subunit ribosomal RNA", at positions 28 to 507 of the family's 1533-position model. The record is from RNAcentral.